UUCUCAUCAUGACUAUGCAGUUUCCUAUACAGUCUUCACCCGACACUUCUCAUAGAGUCCCUUGGGAUUCGAGUAAUUUCAAUGGGAGCAUGGACAACAUUACCUCAGAUUUGCCAAAUGAGACCUGGAAAGGAUACUCGAAGGUAUUCAAUUUCUUCGGGCAGCCCAACGACGACCCAGAUCUUAUCCUCAUAAUGAUAUUCCUUCUCGGGGCAGCACUGCUGAUCGUAAGCACCCUCGUCUUCUUUACCUGGAGGUCCUUUGUAGGGACGGAGGGAAACAAACAAGAAUACACUCAUAAUCACGAC
This is a long non-coding RNA of Sarcophilus harrisii (Tasmanian devil), 308 nucleotides long. RefSeq lists it as uncharacterized. The record is from RefSeq and is a predicted model, not a curated record. Lineage: Eukaryota; Metazoa; Chordata; Mammalia; Dasyuromorphia; Dasyuridae. The transcript is spliced from 2 exons.